GUCCACGGCCAUACCACCCUGAACACGCCUGAUCUCGUCUGAUUUUGGAAGCUGAGCAGGGCCAGGCCUGGUUAGUACUUGGAUAGUAGAAAUGGCAGUGUCUCCU
Homo sapiens (human) is the source of this 106-nucleotide non-coding RNA. NCBI's taxonomy places the organism in Eukaryota, Metazoa, Chordata, Mammalia, Primates, Hominidae. The record is from Rfam.